RNAcentral lists this ribosomal RNA (298 nucleotides) under uncultured bacterium. RNAcentral describes it as "partial 16S ribosomal RNA". It matches the Rfam family "Bacterial small subunit ribosomal RNA", at positions 28 to 323 of the family's 1533-position model. The record is from RNAcentral.
GAUGAACGCUAGCGGCAGGCCUAAUACAUGCAAGACGAACGGUAAGUUGAGUAGCAAUACUUAGCCAAGAGUGUCGUACGGGUGCGUAACACGUAUGCAACCUACCCUAUACAGGAGGAUAGCCUAGGGAAACCUGGAUUAACCCUUCAUAGUAUUAUUGGAUGGCAUCAUUUGAUAAUUAAAACUGAGGUGGUAUAGGAUGGGCAUGCGUCUGAUUAGUUAGUUGGCGGGGUAAUGGCCCACCAAGACGAUGAUCAGUAGGGGUUCUGAGAGGAAGAUCCCCCACACUGGCACUGAG